AUGACGUCAAGUCAUCAUGGCCCUUACGGCCUGGGCUACACACGUGGCUACAAUGGUCGGUACAAAGGGUUGCCAAGCCGCGAGGUGGAGCUAAUACCCAUAAAACCGAUCGUAGUCCGGAUCGCAGUCUGCAACUCGACUGCGUGAAGUCGGAAUCGCUAGUAAUCGUGAAUCAGAAUGUCACGGUGAAUACGUUCCCGGGCCUU
Molecule: ribosomal RNA, 206 nt
Filed under: uncultured Pseudomonas sp.
Lineage: Bacteria; Pseudomonadati; Pseudomonadota; Gammaproteobacteria; Pseudomonadales; Pseudomonadaceae
Description: partial 16S ribosomal RNA
Rfam family: Bacterial small subunit ribosomal RNA
Source: RNAcentral